GCGGGUGUAGCUCAAUUGGUAGAGCAUCAGCCUUCCAAGCUGAAUGUUGCCGGUUCGAACCCGGUCGCCCGCU
This 73-nucleotide transfer RNA is filed under the name Phycisphaerae bacterium. RNAcentral's name for it is "tRNA-Gly". It matches the Rfam family "tRNA". Rfam says of the family: Transfer RNA (tRNA) molecules are approximately 80 nucleotides in length. Their secondary structure includes four short double-helical elements and three loops (D, anti-codon, and T loops). Further hydrogen bonds mediate the characteristic L-shaped molecular structure. tRNAs have two regions of fundamental functional importance: the anti-codon, which is responsible for specific mRNA codon recognition, and the 3' end, to which the tRNAs corresponding amino acid is attached (by aminoacyl-tRNA synthetases). tRNAs cope with the degeneracy of the genetic code in two manners: having more than one tRNA (with a specific anti-codon) for a particular amino acid; and 'wobble' base-pairing, i.e. permitting non-standard base-pairing at the 3rd anti-codon position. The record is from RNAcentral. Lineage: Bacteria; Pseudomonadati; Planctomycetota; Phycisphaerae.